Molecule: long non-coding RNA, 1841 nt
Organism: Mesocricetus auratus (golden hamster)
Lineage: Eukaryota; Metazoa; Chordata; Mammalia; Rodentia; Cricetidae
Exons: 2
Source: RefSeq, a predicted model, not a curated record
UCCUUCUGCUUGUAACUGAAGCCUUGAGUUCCCGGCUUCCUGUGUCGGCUGCCAUACCAUACUGGACUCUAGUCCCUGUGGAGCUGUAAGCGCAGAUGAACUCUUCUGGUCUUAUUCCAGAGUCUAACAACACAGGAAGCAACAGAUCCUAAGUCAGCCACUUUGAUAAAUAAAGAUGCAGAUGACACUCUCAGCCGCCAUCAAGCGUGGCCAACCAGGCGACGGGUGCUUGGGUAGCACAGAGAUGGUGUAGUAUCUCCUCCCUAAACCUAAAUUCACUUUAAAGACUUUUCUCUAUUUGAGAAUAUGUCAUCUCCAAUUUUAGCAUCUCCAAUUUAAAAUGCCCUUUCUUUUAUGUAAUUAUGGAGACAGGUGGUGGAUUGAAAAACAUUUUUUUAUUUGACAAAAAACUGCCACUUUUUGCUGGUCCAAUUUUGCUAAUUUUCUUCUCAUUAUUUACUCUCUAUCUUUUGAGUAUAGAGGGAAUCGAAGCCUGCAUCCCUCGAACCCUGGUCUCAUUUCUGGCUGGCUGACGGUGGAUGGAAGCGCUGACCGCCAUGUCAGCACAGGAUGCCCUUAAAAGUCAAGAGAGAAGCCAUGCACGCAGAGUUCAUGUCUGUGCAGAACUCCCGUGGUUCUGUAGUAAUGGCAGCAGAGGGAGUACAGGGCGGGUUAAAUCAGGAAGAGAGAGGACCUGGGAGAACUUCAAACAGCCCAACACAUUGUGAUGGAGCAGGGAAACCCUCAGGGAAGUGACGACGGGGAGCCAGGAAGAGGGCAUGGAGGAGCCAACGGGAGAGCACGUUUCAGAGUGUCUGAGGUGGUGCCAGCAGUCUCAGGCACAGAGGGCUAGAGUUCCCGAACCACCAUCACACAGACCAUAAAGCAAUGCCAUCCCCAAGUCUGGAGAGCUCUGAAGUACUUGGAACGCUUAGGGAUCCAUACCAGGCACGUGGGAUGUCCAUGAGAAUCUUGUUUUCCUCUCAGAGUCCCAGAGGAAGCAAACAGAGCAAAGCAAACGGAGAUGCGCCUCUGGGAAAAGACAGCUCCCCGAGAAGCCGGCCACAGACACAGGCGCCACAGGGUCGCUUAGCCACGCAAUGUUGGUUUUUUUUCCUAAACCAUGAUAGAUAAGAGGUGUUGAAAUCUUCUUUCCACUUAAUCUCUUUAGUGCAAAUAUUUCCUUCAAAUCCAAUCCAGUCAGGGUCUGGCCUGGAGGAAGCCAGGUACAGUCUUGUUACCUACUUCUCUAAGCUGUCUUGUCUGCGUCCUGCCAUGCACCCCGACGCUGGAUGGGUGUUUCUGGGGGCUCGGGGGCUCCCCCAGGGAAGAUGCCUUCCCAAGAGGGAGGUGAAUAAGCCUGGGGCCCAACCUCUUUAAUUUGAAAUUCUUUGAGGCUGCUUUUGUUUGUUUGCUACCUUCUGCUCAGAGGAGGGUGGAGGACUUCUGAUUGGGUGGGUGAAGAAGGGAGGACUCUAGAUUCUGCUCCUCUGGCCUCCUCGCUCAAUCUUCAUGCUCGCACUGUCACACCAGUACACUGCCGCCCUGAAGGCGUUCCAGAGUGGCCCUCAUUUGUCCUGUUCCAUGUCUGCCUCUCUCUCUCUCCUCAGCGCCUGGGUGGGGAAGCCACCCUGCCAAGUCCCCUGUCAGCGGGAAUCCUUCUGAAUCUGCCAAGUUAAGGGACUGUUCCUUCCUCCUCCAGAGUCUAAGGGUCAGUAUUGUUGCCUGUGGCAAUAAUAAUAAUGUAAAAAAACACUGUAAAAUAAUACUUUAAGACCUUUGUCUACGCUCUGGGCUACUUCCUCUCUUGGAAAUAAAAUGUCUUCCUUUUCUUGCUCUUA